UACGUAGGGGGCUAGCGUUGUCCGGAAUCACUGGGCGUAAAGCGCGUGUAGGCGGCCCGGUAAGUCCGCUGUGAAAGUCGGGGGCUCAACCCUCGAAAGCCGGUGGAUACUGUCGGGCUCGAGUGCGGUAGAGGCGAGUGGAAUUCCUGGUGUAGCGGUGAAAUGCGCAGAUAUCAGGAGGAACACCGAUUGCGAAGGCAGCUCGCUGGGACGUUACUGACGCUGAGACGCGAAAGCGUGGGGAGCAAACAGG
RNAcentral lists this ribosomal RNA (253 nucleotides) under uncultured bacterium. RNAcentral's name for it is "partial 16S ribosomal RNA". It matches the Rfam family "Bacterial small subunit ribosomal RNA", at positions 524 to 776 of the family's 1533-position model. The record is from RNAcentral.